AAGUGCGAAUGCUGACAUAAGUAACGAUAAAACGGGUGAAAAACCCGUUCGCCGGAAGACCAAGGGUUCCUGUCCAACGUUAAUCGGGGCAGGGUGAGUCGGCUCCUAAGGCGAGGCUGAAAAGCGUAGUCGAUGGGAAACAGGUUAAUAUUCCUGUACUUGGUAAAGCUGCGAUGUGGGGACGGAGUAGGUUAGGUUAUCGCACUGUUGGAUAUGUGCGUUUAAGUUGGUAGGUGGGAAGUUUAGGCAAAUCCGGGCUUCCUUAACACAGAGAGAUGAUGACGAGGCUCUACGGAGCUGAAGUAACUGAUACCACACUUCCAGGAAAAGCCACUAAGCGAAAGGCUUUACUAAACCGUACUGAAAACCGACACAGGUGGUCAGGUAGAGAAUACUCAGGCGCUUGAGAGAACUCGGGUGAAGGAACUAGGCAAAAUAGCACCGUAACUUCGGGAGAAGGUGCGCCGGCGUAGAUUGUAAGGGCUAGCCCCUGAAGGUUGAACCGGUCGAAGAUACCAGCUGGCUGCAACUGUUUAUUAAAAACACAGCACUCUGCAAACACGAAAGUGGACGUAUAGGGUGUGAUGCCUGCCCGGUGCUGGAAGGUUAAUUGAUGGUGUAAUCGCAAGAGAAGCACCUGAUCGAAGCCCCAGUAAACGGCGGCCGUAACUAUAACGGUCCUAAGGUAGCGAAAUUCCUUGUCGGGUAAGUUCCGACCUGCACGAAUGGCAUAAUGAUGGCCAGGCUGUCUCCACCCGAGACUCAGUGAAAUUGAAAUCGCCGUGAAGAUGCGGUGUACCCGCGGCUAGACGGAAAGACCCCGUGAACCUUUACUAUAGCUUGACACUGAACAUUGAAUUUUGAUGUGUAGGAUAGGUGGGAGACUUAGAAGUAGUCACGCCAGUGAUUAUGGAGUCGACCUUGAAAUACCACCCUUUAACGUUUGAUGUUCUAACGAAGAUGACGAAACGUGGUCUCGGACAGUGUCUGGUGGGUAGUUUGACUGGGGCGGUCUCCUCCCAAAGCGUAACGGAGGAGCACGAAGGUUUGCUAAUCACGGUCGGACAUCGUGAGGUUAGUGCAAUGGUAUAAGCAAGCUUAACUGCGAGACAGACAAGUCGAGCAGGUACGAAAGUAGGUCAUAGUGAUCCGGUGGUUCUGAAUGGAAGGGCCAUCGCUCAACGGAUAAAAGGUACUCCGGGGAUAACAGGCUGAUACCGCCCAAGAGUUCAUAUCGACGGCGGUGUUUGGCACCUCGAUGUCGGCUCAUCACAUCCUGGGGCUGAAGUAGGUCCCAAGGGUAUGGCUGUUCGCCAUUUAAAGUGGUACGCGAGCUGGGUUUAGAACGUCGUGAGACAGUUCGGUCCCUAUCUGCCGUGGGCGUAGGAGAAUUGAUUGGGGCUGCUCCUAGUACGAGAGGACCGGAGUGGACGCACCACUGGUGUUCCGGUUGUGUCGCCAGACGCAUUGCCGGGUAGCUAAGUGCGGAAGAGAUAAGUGCUGAAAGCAUCUAAGCACGAAACUUGCCAAGAGAUGAGUUCUCCCAAUCUAAGAGAUUGUAAGGGUUGUUGUAGACUACGACGUAGAUAGGUCUGGUGUGUAAGUGUAGUGAUA
RNAcentral lists this ribosomal RNA (1614 nucleotides) under Haemophilus influenzae. Its description in RNAcentral is "bacterial LSU rRNA". It matches the Rfam family "Bacterial large subunit ribosomal RNA", at positions 1286 to 2883 of the family's 2925-position model. The record is from RNAcentral. Lineage: Bacteria; Pseudomonadati; Pseudomonadota; Gammaproteobacteria; Pasteurellales; Pasteurellaceae.